This 70-nucleotide transfer RNA is filed under the name Callitettix versicolor. Its description in RNAcentral is "tRNA-Tyr". RNAcentral also lists the same sequence under 1 other name. Lineage: Eukaryota; Metazoa; Arthropoda; Insecta; Hemiptera; Cercopidae. The record is from RNAcentral.
GUUAAAAUGGCUGAUAAAUGGUAAUAAAUUGUAAAUUUAUUUAUGUGGAUGAUUAAUUCUUCUUUUAACA